UGGGGAAUUUUGCGCAAUGGGCGAAAGCCUGACGCAGCGACGCCGCGUGUACGAUGAAGGCCUUUGGGUCGUAAAGUACUGUCAACGGGGACGAACGCCUCAGGUUGAAUAGGUCUGAGGUCUGACGGUACCCGUGGAGGAAGCACCGGCUAACUCUGUGCCAGCAGCCGCGGUAAUACAGAGGGUGCAAACGUUGCUCGGAAUGACUGGGCGUAAAGCGCGCGCAGGUGGCCCGUUAAGUCGAGGGUGAAAGCCCGGGGCUCAACCCCGGAACGGCCUUCGAGACUGGGCAGCUCGAGACCGGAAGAGGAGGGUGGAAUACCCAGUGUAGAGGUGAAAUUCGUAGAUAUUGGGUGGAACACCAGUGGCGAAAGCGGCUCUCUGGUCCGGAUCUGACGCUGAGGCGCGAAAGCGUGGGGAGCAAACAGGAUUAGAUACCCCUGUAGUCC
RNAcentral lists this ribosomal RNA (449 nucleotides) under uncultured prokaryote. Its description in RNAcentral is "bacterial SSU rRNA". It matches the Rfam family "Bacterial small subunit ribosomal RNA", at positions 355 to 796 of the family's 1533-position model. The record is from RNAcentral.